UUAAUUUUAACUGAUAGUGCAUAAUUAAGUAUUGCUUAACAAUUUCAGCAAACUACUCUUUUUUUUAUUUAAGUCUUGUAUAUUAUUUAUACAUAUUGAAUGUAUUUUUAAAUUAAAUGAAAAAAAAAAAAUUGACCUCUGGACUUGUCUUCAUGGUGAAAAUGACUACCGUAUGCAAAAAUAUGCUAUUUUUUUGGAAAAAUUCUUGAUAUUAUAUUUUACAUUUUUUAACAUUAUGUUGCUAUAACUUUUUAAAAAAUGCAUGAAUCAACUCUAUUCUUUGACAAUAAAUACUUUAUAUAUACCUCUUUCAUACGACAUACUUUUUUUUUUAAAUCGGACCUUUUCCCUUUAUACAGGGGGGGUGCAAACCUUUUAAAAUGCGUAUAGAAAGUAGAACUUUUUCAACUUAACUUUUGAAAAUGUUCCGGAAAGACUGACACUUUUAUAUAUAUCUUAAAUUAAAGCUUAUGUAAUAUACUUUAAUUUGAAAAAAAAAAAUUUGACCUCUGGACUUGUCUUCGUGGUGAAAGUUGACAUCAAAGUUAAUAAAAAAUUACGAUUUUUGUAAAAUAAUUUUUUUUUAUAUUUUUAACUUAAUAAUGCUCUAACUUUUUCAAAAAUGAACAUAUCAAUAUAAUUUUUUUUUAUAUAGAUGCUUGAUGUCUUUACUUAUCAUUUGGUAUAUUUUUUUUGUAAAUCUGACACUUAACCUGCCCACAGGGGGGGAUUUAAAAUGACAACUUUUUCACAAAAAAUUAACUUUUUCAACAUAACUUUUGAAAAUGUUCCGGAAGGUCUGACACUUUUAUAUAUAUCUUAAAUUAAAGUUAAUGUAAAAUACUUUAAUUUGAAAAAAAAAAAAUUAACCUCUAGACUUGUCUUCACGGCGAAAAUGGCUACCGAAUGCUUUUUUCGUGUGAAAAUUCUCGAUUUUAUGAUUUAUAUUAUAUUUAACUUUAUAAUGCUAUAACUUAUUGAAAAGUUUAUGGAUCCACACAAUUUUUUUAUGAGAAAUAAUAUUUUUUAAUAAACCCUUUUUCAUUCGACAUAUUUUAUCUUAAUCGAGAUAUUAAUAAGGAACCAGCAGAUCAAGUAGCUUUUGGAAUAAAACACCAAUUUUUUUAAAAUUAAACACUAUCUAAAGAUUUGCAUCGAAGCGUUUAUUUUUGAUAGUGAUUUUAAUCACUGUCAGAUAUCAUUAUACUUGAUCCAACUAUACCACGUCACAACUGUGCCGCGACCCCCCUGUGCUGGGUUUUUUUAUAUACCCCUUUCAUCUGACACCCUUUUUUUUUGUAAAUCGGAUUAUACCCCUUUAACAUGGGGGGUCAAAACUUUAAACAUGGGUAUUGAAACUAGGUCAUUUUCAAUUAAAUUUUUUAAAGUGUUCCAGAAAUACUGACACUUUUAUAUAUAUCUUAAAUUAAAGCUUAUGUUUUUUUUUUUUUUUUCAAUCCGAAGAUUGGUUUUUAACAAAUGUGUUUACAAUAAAUGGCUUCUCCAUUUUUCUCUAUUAUUCGCCAUAAUUUUAAGCUCCCUGUAGGAAGUGACCCCUGCAUCCUGCAUUAUUUGGCUAAUGUACCUCGUUCUAGGUCUUCCUCUUGAUCUUGUACCCUCUAUCAUUCCUUCAAUUAUUAAACUAUGCAAUUCAUCUCCAUGCCUCAACGUGUGUCCUAUCAUCUGCCAUCUCCUUCUCUUUAUAAUGUCAAUCAGUGUUCGUUUUUCAUCUAUUGUCCUCAGGAUGUCUUCAUUUGAUCUUUUAUCAAUCCAGCUUAUUCUCUGCAUCUUUCUCCAACACCACAUCUCCAGAGCUUCUAACAUAUCUUUUUCUUUCUUAUUAAUUGUCCAGGUUUCACUUCCGUAUAAUGCCACACUCCAGACGUAUGUUUUUAUGAGCCGUUUCUUCGUUACUAUGUUCAUAUUUUUUGAUGUUAGUAUUUUUCUCUUUUUAAGGAAUGUAUUCUUUGCUUGACCUAUCCUGCUCCUGAUUUCCUUGGUUGAUUUCCCGUCGUCUGUUAUAAUGCUGCCUAAGUAUUUGAAAUAGUCUACUAGGAUAAUUUCUUUGUUUUCUAAUGUUAUAUUUAUAUAUGGUAUGUCUUUCUUGUAGCAUACUAGGGCUUUGAUCUUGGCUGCGUUUAUUUUCAGACUAUAUUCUUUGAACGUAGUAUUUAUUGCAUUUAACGCUACUUGUAUGUCUUCCUCAGAUGUUGUAAGAACGACUAUAUCAUCAGCGAAGCGAAGCUUCCCCUCCUAUUUUCACUACAAUUCCUUUUUGUUUUAACCAAAGCUUUAUGACGUUUAUUGCUUUUUCAAUAAAUACAUUAAACAAUGCAGGUGAAAGUGGGCACCCUUGUCUCACACCUUUUUGGAUUCUGGCAGUCACUGUUGUUGUAUUAAUGUUAAUAAUGGAUUCUUGUUCUUCAUAAAUCUUAUAAAGAAUACGUCUGUCUUUAAAAUCUAUCUCUGUUUCUUCCAAAAUUUUAAAGAGACUUGUCCAAUUUAUGCUAUCGAAUGCUUUUUCUAGGUCUACAAAGGCCAUAUAAGUGAUUUUUUGUCUCUCAAUUUGCUUUUCAAGUAUUACUCUCAGACCUAAAAUAGCCUCCCUGGUUCCUUUGUUCUUCCGGAAACCAUAUUGAUCGUUUGCUAAUCUGGCUUCUAUCCUCUUCCUUAUUCUUUUGCUUACAAUUAUUGCCAGUAAUUUAGCCGCAUGCGAUAUCAAGCUUAAGGUCCUAAAAUUUUCGCACUGGUUUGCUCUAGGUUUUUUUGCNAAUAAAGCUUAUGUAAUAUACGUUAAUUUGAAAAAAAAAAAUUGACCUCUGGAUUUGUCUUCAUGGUAAAAAUAACUACCGUAUUCAAAAAUAUGCUAUUUUUGUGUUAAAAUUCAGGGUUUUGUAUUUUAUUUUAUUUUAAAAUACCUUACAAGAGGAGUAUAGAUUUUCAUAAAUAUUAUAUAAAUAAAAACCCAGCACAGGGGGAUCGCGGCACAGUGGUGACGUGGCAUAGUUGGAUCAAGUAUUAUGAUAUCUGACAGUGAUUAAAAUCACUAUAAAAAAAAACGCUUCGAUGCAAAUCUUUAGAUAGUGUUUAAUUUUAAAAAAUUCGUGGAAUAUACCAAAAACAACUUGAUCUGCUAGUUCGUUAUUAAUAUCCUGAUUCAGAUAAAGUAUGUCGAAUGAAAAAGGGAUUAUUAAAAAAUUUUAUUUCUCAUAAAAAAAUUGUGUUGAUCCAUACACUUUUCAAUAUGUCAUAGCAUUAUAAAUUUAAAAAUGUAAAAAAUAAAAUCGACAAUUUUCACAAAUUAAUAGCAUUCGGUAGCCAUUUUCACCGUGAAGAUAAAAUAAAGUCCGACAUUUUUUGCAUAAUAAAGUAAAUUACAUUAGCUUUAAUUUAAGAUAUAUAUAAAAGUGUCAGACUUUCCGUAACACUUUCAAAAAUUAAGUUGAAAAAGUAAAUUUUUUGUGAAAAAGUUGUCAUUUUAAAACCCCCCCUGUGGGCAGGUAAAGGGUCAGAUAUAAAAAAAAUAUAUACCAAAUGAUAGGUAAAGACAUCAUGCAUCUAUAUAAAAAAAAAUUAUAUUGAUCCAUACAUCUUUCAAAAAGUUAUAGCAUUCUAAAGUUAAAAAUAUAAAAAAGAAUUUUUUUACAAAAAUCGUAUUUUUUUUAAAAACUUUGAUGUCUGUUUUCACCAUGAAGAUAAAAUAAAGUCCGAAUUUUUUUUUUGCAUAAUAAAGUAAAUUACAUUAGCUUUAAUUUAAGAUAUAUAUAAAAGUGUCAGACUUACCAGAACACUUACAAAAUUAAGUUGAAAAAGUAAAUUUUUUGUGAAAAAGUUGUCAUUUUAAAUCGCCCCUUGUGGGCAAGUUAAGGGUUAAAUGUAUGAAAAAAAUAUACCAAAUGAUAGGUAAAGACAUCAUGCAUCUAUAAAAAAAAAAUUAUAUUGAUAUGUUUUUUCAUUGAUAUGUAUUGAUAUGUAUUCAUUGAUAUGUAUUUUUGAAAAAGUUAUGGCAGUUUUAAGUAAAAAAAAAUUCAAAAAUUAGCGAUUUUUAAAUUUGUAAUUUUUUUGGAGGUUUCCCCCAUUUAUGGGGAACGAGGGAAAUUUUUUUCAAUUUUUGAGGGUAAUGUAAUACCUUCUCAGCUUCGCAUCGAAGCUAAAAAUUAAUAUAGCAUAGAAAGUUAAACUUAUUUAAAUUUGUUUGCAUCUUUUAAGUGGAGAAAAAUAACUUUGAAAUUUAAACUAGCUUAAAUAGCCAAUUUUUUCAAGCAAGGGGAACGAUGUAUGGUUGUCGAGUUGGUAGAAGUCAUGUUUUACACGUUUGGGAUACGAGGUUUCAACCCUCGUAUGGCAAUGAAUUUUUUGCAUUUUUUCUUAAUUCUUUUUAAGUUAAUAUAAAUUUUUAACUCCUUUGAUUUUUAUCUCAUUUAGAUUCAAUAACUUUAAUAAAGAUAAAGGAUCCCAUCACUGUAGUCGCCACUCGCGAGAAGAAGUUUUUUAUUAAUACUAAAAUUAUUUUACUAUAUUUUAAGUUUUAGCUUCGAUGUAAAGUUGAGAAGAUAUUUUUUUGUGACUAUCAUUUAUUUUCUCUGCUCUAACUUGACCUACUUUUUUCAUCGAUACGUCAAAUGACUACAAAAGUAUUUAGUUGAAGAUAUUACCCUCAAAAAUUGAAAAAAAAAUUCUAAUUUAUCAAUUAAACAGUUACUUAUCCCAUAUUCUCCAUACAGACAAUUAAAAUCAUUCAUUUCUAAUGUUUUCAAAAUAUUUAUUAACGAAUGAAGUUUGAAAUGAUAGGUUUCAACUACAAAAUGAAAUCAUUUUACUUUGUAAUUUAAUAAUUUUAUUAACUCUAUUUGUGUGUGCUACUACUAGACUAUAAUAUUACAAAUUUUUUUGUAACAUGUUGCUAUA
Long non-coding RNA from Daktulosphaira vitifoliae (grape phylloxera), 4908 nucleotides. RefSeq lists it as uncharacterized. The transcript is spliced from 3 exons. NCBI's taxonomy places the organism in Eukaryota, Metazoa, Arthropoda, Insecta, Hemiptera, Phylloxeridae. The record is from RefSeq and is a predicted model, not a curated record.